CAAUAGCGUAUAUUUAAGUUGUUGCAGUUAAAAAGCUCGUAGUUGGAUUUCGGAUGGGACUUGCCGGUCCGUCGUUUCGAUGUGCACUGGCCAGUCCUAUCUUGUUGUCGGGGACUAGCUCCUGGGCUUCACUGUCCGGGACUAGGAGCUGACGAGGUUACUUUGAGUAAAUUAGAGUGUUCAAAGCAAGCCUACGCUCUGAAUACAUUAGCAUGGAAUAACACGAUAGGACUCUGGCUUAUCUUGUUGGUCUGUGAGACCAGAGUAAUGAUUAAGAGGGACAGUCGGGGGCAUUCGUAUUUCAUUGUCAGAGGUGAAAUUCUUGGAUUUAUGAAAGACGAACUUCUGCGGAAGCAUUUGUCAAGGAUGUUUUCAUUAA
This 379-nucleotide ribosomal RNA is filed under the name uncultured eukaryote. RNAcentral's name for it is "partial 18S ribosomal RNA". It matches the Rfam family "Eukaryotic small subunit ribosomal RNA", at positions 592 to 976 of the family's 1831-position model. The record is from RNAcentral.